CCUACGGGAGGCAGCAGUAGGGAAUUUUCCGCAAUGGGCGAAAGCCUGACGGAGCAAUACCGCGUGAGGGAUGACGGCCUGUGGGUUGUAAACCUCUUUUCUCAAGGAAGAAGUUCUGACGGUACUUGAGGAAUAAGCAUCGGCUAACUCUGUGCCAGCAGCCGCGGUAAUACAGAGGAUGCAAGCGUUAUCCGGAAUCACUGGGCAUAAAGCGUCUGUAGGUUGUUUAGUAAGUCUGCUGUUAAAGACUGGGGCUUAACCCCAGAAAAGCAGUGGAAACUGCUAGACUCGAGUGUGGUAGAGGUAGAGGGAAUUCCUAGUGUAGCGGUGAAAUGCGUAGAUAUUAGGAAGAACACCAAUGGCGAAGGCACUCUACUGGGCCAUAACUGACACUGAGAGACGACAGCUAGGGGAGCAAACGGGAUUAGAUACCCCGGUAGUCCUAGCCGUAAACGAUGGAUACUAGAUGUUGCACGUAUUAACCCGUGCAGUUAUCGUAGNUAGUACGUAGUAUCCGCCGUGGAGUACGCGUCGCGAGAGAGAAACGUUAAAGGUAAAGUUAGUACGGUUCGUUGUAGACGUUGCCGACGGACGACGACGAGGGAGGAGG
RNAcentral lists this ribosomal RNA (610 nucleotides) under uncultured bacterium. RNAcentral's name for it is "bacterial SSU rRNA". The stretch from base 1 to 519 matches the Rfam family "Bacterial small subunit ribosomal RNA", at positions 338 to 873 of the family's 1533-position model. The record is from RNAcentral.